This 243-nucleotide unclassified non-coding RNA is filed under the name Hevea brasiliensis (rubber tree). Lineage: Eukaryota; Viridiplantae; Streptophyta; Magnoliopsida; Malpighiales; Euphorbiaceae. The record is from RNAcentral.
ACUAGCUAUGUACAAAUACACUAAUGCAUUUUUUACAGUUACAACCCCCAAGGAAAAUCUCCUUAGGUCUAAAGCUUUAGUUGUUAUUCUGAUUCAUACCAGAAUUUAAACAAUUCACAUUUUCUAUGUACAUAGAGUUCUUGAGAUAAUUUUUUCCAUAUUUGUCCAAGCAGUUUGCCAUGUUCAAUGUCCUUAUCACAAAAAUCUAAAGUUUUAACCUUGAACCCAAAAAAUCUAGCAUCA